ACCCAGCUGACGAUUCCCAAAUAGAACGAACUAACGCGCGUCCUGGAU
Schistosoma rodhaini is the source of this 48-nucleotide non-coding RNA. The record is from Rfam. Lineage: Eukaryota; Metazoa; Platyhelminthes; Trematoda; Strigeidida; Schistosomatidae.